Molecule: ribosomal RNA, 2924 nt
Filed under: Staphylococcus warneri
Lineage: Bacteria; Bacillati; Bacillota; Bacilli; Caryophanales; Staphylococcaceae
Description: 23S ribosomal RNA
Rfam family: Bacterial large subunit ribosomal RNA
Source: RNAcentral
GAUUAAGUUAUUAAGGGCGCACGGUGGAUGCCUUGGCACUAGAAGCCGAUGAAGGACGUUACUAACGACGAUAUGCUUUGGGGAGCUGUAAGUAAGCGUUGAUCCAGAGAUUUCCGAAUGGGGAAACCCAGCAUGAGUUAUGUCAUGUUAUCGAUAUGUGAAUACAUAGCAUAUCAGAAGGCAGACCCGGAGAACUGAAACAUCUUAGUACCCGGAGGAAGAGAAAGAAAAAUCGAUUCCCUGAGUAGCGGCGAGCGAAACGGGAAGAGCCCAAACCAACAAGCUUGCUUGUUGGGGUUGUAGGACACUCUAUACGGAGUUACAAAAGUAUAUAUUAGACGAAUCAUCUGGAAAGUUGAAUCAAAGAAGGUAAUAAUCCUGUAGUCGAAAAUAUAUACUCUCUUGAGUGGAUCCUGAGUACGACGGAGCACGUGAAAUUCCGUCGGAAUCUGGGAGGACCAUCUCCUAAGGCUAAAUACUCUCUAGUGACCGAUAGUGAACCAGUACCGUGAGGGAAAGGUGAAAAGUACCCCGGAAGGGGAGUGAAAGAGAACUUGAAACCGUGUGCUUACAAGUAGUCAGAGCCCGUUAAUGGGUGAUGGCAUGCCUUUUGUAGAAUGAACCGGCGAGUUACGAUUUGAUGCAAGGUUAAGCAGCUAAUGUGGAGCCGUAGCGAAAGCGAGUCUGAAUAGGGCGUUUAGUAUUUGGUCGUAGACCCGAAACCAGGUGAUCUACCCUUGGUCAGGUUGAAGUUCAGGUAACACUGAAUGGAGGACCGAACCGACUUACGUUGAAAAGUGAGCGGAUGAACUGAGGGUAGCGGAGAAAUUCCAAUCGAACUUGGAGAUAGCUGGUUCUCUCCGAAAUAGCUUUAGGGCUAGCCUCAAGUGAUGAUUAUUGGAGGUAGAGCACUGUUUGGACGAGGGGCCCUUCUCGGGUUACCGAAUUCAGACAAACUCCGAAUGCCAAUUAAUUUAACUUGGGAGUCAGAACAUGGGUGAUAAGGUCCGUGUUCGAAAGGGAAACAGCCCAGACCACCAGCUAAGGUCCCAAAAUAUAUGUUAAGUGGAAAAGGAUGUGGCGUUGCCCAGACAACUAGGAUGUUGGCUUAGAAGCAGCCAUCAUUUAAAGAGUGCGUAAUAGCUCACUAGUCGAGUGACACUGCGCCGAAAAUGUACCGGGGCUAAACAUAUUACCGAAGCUGUGGAUUGUCCGUAGGACAAUGGUAGGAGAGCGUUCUAAGGGCGUCGAAGCAUGAUCGCAAGGACAUGUGGAGCGCUUAGAAGUGAGAAUGCCGGUGUGAGUAGCGAAAGACGGGUGAGAAUCCCGUCCACCGAUUGACUAAGGUUUCCAGAGGAAGGCUCGUCCGCUCUGGGUUAGUCGGGUCCUAAGCUGAGGCCGACAGGCGUAGGCGAUGGAUAACAGGUUGAUAUUCCUGUACCACCUAGUAUCGUUUUAAUCGAUGGGGGGGGACGCAGUAGGAUAGGCGAAGCGUGCUAUUGGAUUGCACGUCCAAGCAGUAAGACUGAGUGUUAGGCAAAUCCGGCACUCAUAAGGUCAAGCUGUGAUGGGGAGAGGAAAUUGUUUCCUCGAGUCGUUGAUUUCACACUGCCAAGAAAAGCCUCUAGAUAGAUAACAGGUGCCCGUACCGCAAACCGACACAGGUAGUCAAGAUGAGAAUUCUAAGGUGAGCGAGCGAACUCUCGUUAAGGAACUCGGCAAAAUGACCCCGUAACUUCGGGAGAAGGGGUGCUCUUUAGGGUUAACGCCCAGAAGAGCCGCAGUGAAUAGGCCCAAGCGACUGUUUAUCAAAAACACAGGUCUCUGCUAAACCGUAAGGUGAUGUAUAGGGGCUGACGCCUGCCCGGUGCUGGAAGGUUAAGAGGAGUAGUUAGCUUCUGCGAAGCUACGAAUCGAAGCCCCAGUAAACGGCGGCCGUAACUAUAACGGUCCUAAGGUAGCGAAAUUCCUUGUCGGGUAAGUUCCGACCCGCACGAAAGGCGUAACGAUUUGGGCACUGUCUCAACGAGAGACUCGGUGAAAUCAUAGUACCUGUGAAGAUGCAGGUUACCCGCGACAGGACGGAAAGACCCCGUGGAGCUUUACUGUAGCCUGAUAUUGAAAUUCGGCACAGCUUGUACAGGAUAGGUAGGAGCCUUUGAAACGUGAGCGCUAGCUUACGUGGAGGCAUUGGUGGGAUACUACCCUAGCUGUGUUGGCUUUCUAACCCGCACCACUUAUCGUGGUGGGAGACAGUGUCAGGUGGGCAGUUUGACUGGGGCGGUCGCCUCCUAAAAGGUAACGGAGGCGCUCAAAGGUUCCCUCAGAAUGGUUGGAAAUCAUUCAUAGAGUGUAAAGGCAUAAGGGAGCUUGACUGCGAGACUUACAAGUCGAGCAGGGUCGAAAGACGGACUUAGUGAUCCGGUGGUUCCGCAUGGAAGGGCCAUCGCUCAACGGAUAAAAGCUACCCCGGGGAUAACAGGCUUAUCUCCCCCAAGAGUUCACAUCGACGGGGAGGUUUGGCACCUCGAUGUCGGCUCAUCGCAUCCUGGGGCUGUAGUCGGUCCCAAGGGUUGGGCUGUUCGCCCAUUAAAGCGGUACGCGAGCUGGGUUCAGAACGUCGUGAGACAGUUCGGUCCCUAUCCGUCGUGGGCGUAGGAAAUUUGAGAGGAGCUGUCCUUAGUACGAGAGGACCGGGAUGGACAUACCUCUGGUGUACCAGUUGUCGUGCCAACGGCAUAGCUGGGUAGCUAUGUAUGGACGGGAUAAGUGCUGAAAGCAUCUAAGCAUGAAGCCCCCCUCAAGAUGAGAUUUCCCAACUUCGGUUAUAAGAUCCCUCAAAGAUGAUGAGGUUAAUAGGUUCGAGGUGGAAGCGUGGUGACACGUGGAGCUGACGAAUACUAAUCGAUCGAAGACUUAAUCAA